Myotis brandtii (Brandt's bat) is the source of this 423-nucleotide long non-coding RNA. RefSeq lists it as uncharacterized. Lineage: Eukaryota; Metazoa; Chordata; Mammalia; Chiroptera; Vespertilionidae. The transcript is spliced from 3 exons. The record is from RefSeq and is a predicted model, not a curated record.
GGUGCGCGGUGGUCCCCACCCCAAGCUUCCCAGGCCCUCCUGGCGGCAGGUGAGGGUAGUGGCCUGGGCACACGCCGCCCAUUUCCCCCAGCCUAGCGCGCUCAGCCCUGCUUCCAGAUCCUAAAGGAGCCUGCUCACCUGUCUGGACUCCCGUGGGACCGCACUCAGAUGCUACUGAAACCCGGUAAUGGCAGCAACCACAGGUUAAUGGCAGCAACCUUGGAGCAAUAUACUCACAUGGAAAGAGCUGCAAGGUACUGCAGAUUCUGUUUCAAGUCAGCUCAGACACGAGCCAUUCCUCUCCCUGGUUUGAAAGCUUGCAACUCCGAAGAUCCAAAUCCAAUUCUUUGCCUCCUAACAUCAAUCAUUAGAGGGUUUUAUCCUUCUGGAAACUUGUAUAUAGAGACCUAUAGAGAAAGGUAA